RNA transcript from Carlito syrichta (Philippine tarsier), 824 nucleotides. It is a transcript of the gene named elongation factor 1-alpha 1 pseudogene, with no coding region annotated. The record is from RefSeq and is a predicted model, not a curated record. The transcript has a single exon. Lineage: Eukaryota; Metazoa; Chordata; Mammalia; Primates; Tarsiidae.
AGGCUGACUGUGCUGUCCUCAUUGUUGCUGCUGGUGUUGGUGAAUUUGAAGCUGGUAUUUCCAAGAACGGGCAGACCCGUGAGCAUGCUCUCCUGGCUUACACACUGGGUGUGAAGCAACUAAUUGUUGGCGUUAACAAAAUGGAUUCCACUGAGCCACCUUACAGUCAGAAGAGAUACGAAGAAAUUGUUAAGGAAGUCAGCACUUACAUUAAGAAAAUUGGCUACAAUCCUGACACAGUAGCAUUUGUGCCAAUUUCUGGUUGGAAUGGUGACAACAUGCUGGAGCCAAGUGCUAACAUGCCUUGGUUCAAGGGGUGGAAAGUCACCCGUAAAGAUGGUAAUGCCAGUGGAACCACGCUGCUUGAAGCACUGGACUGCAUCCUGCCACCAACUCGUCCAACUGACAAGCCCCUGCGUCUGCCUCUCCAGGAUGUCUACAAGAUUGGUGGUAUUGGGACUGUCCCUGUGGGCCGAGUGGAGACUGGUGUCCUCAAACCUGGCAUGGUGGUCACCUUUGCUCCAGUCAACGUUACAACUGAAGUGAAGUCUGUUGAAAUGCACCAUGAAGCUUUGAGUGAAGCCCUUCCUGGGGACAACGUGGGCUUCAAUGUCAAAAAUGUGUCUGUCAAAGAUGUUCGCCGUGGCAAUGUUGCUGGUGACAGCAAAAAUGAUCCACCAAUGGAAGCAGCUGGCUUCACCGCUCAGGUGAUUAUCCUGAACCAUCCAGGCCAAAUCAGUGCUGGCUAUGCCCCUGUACUGGAUUGUCACACAGCUCACAUUGCAUGCAAGUUUGCUGAGCUGAAGGAAAAGAUUGAUCGCCGU